Molecule: ribosomal RNA, 511 nt
Filed under: uncultured Basidiomycota
Lineage: Eukaryota; Fungi; Basidiomycota
Description: SSU rRNA
Rfam family: Eukaryotic small subunit ribosomal RNA
Source: RNAcentral
UUGUAGUCAUAUGCUUGUCUCAAAGAUUAAGCCAUGCAUGUCUAAGUAUAAGCAACUUUGUACUGUGAAACUGCGAAUGGCUCAUUAAAUCAGUUAUAGUUUAUUUGAUGGUUUUUGCUACAUGGAUAACUGUGGUAAUUCUAGAGCUAAUACAUGCAUUCAAGCCCCGACUUCUGGAAGGGGUGUAUUUAUUAGAUAAAAAUCAACUUUGUUGGUGAAUCAUAAUAACUUCUCGGACCGCAUGGCCUCGUGCUGGCGGUGCUUCAUUCAAAUAUCUGCCCUAUCAACUGUCGAUGGUAGGAUAGAGGCCUACCAUGGUUGCAACGGGUAACGGGGAAUAAGGGUUCGAUUCCGGAGAGGGAGCCUGAGAAACGGCUACCACAUCCAAGGAAGGCAGCAGGCGCGCGGGUAACCCAAUCCCGACACGGGGAGGUAGUGACAAUACAUAACAAUAUACGGCUUUAACGUCGUAUAAUUGGAGGGAGUACAAUUUAAAUCCCUUAACGAGGAA